RNAcentral lists this long non-coding RNA (295 nucleotides) under Nicotiana benthamiana. Its description in RNAcentral is "long non-coding RNA (NBEN_LNC025953)". Lineage: Eukaryota; Viridiplantae; Streptophyta; Magnoliopsida; Solanales; Solanaceae. The record is from RNAcentral.
UAAAGUAUUGUUUAAAACGGACGUCAUUUGACGUGUUACGGGCUUGAAAAAGAGAAAUAAGAGGUUUAUGGAAAAUUGGAAGAAAUCAUGUGUUCUGAGGUUUGAUUGUAUGUAAAUGAUGUUAUUUUGGCAAUUUGAUCACACGAGUAAGUCCGUAGGAUGUUUUUUAAGGUUGUGUGCAUGUUUGGGUUGGAGCCCUGAGGGCUCGUGUGAGUUUUGGAUAGGUGUUGGGUUCAUUUUGCAUGUUGGGAAUGAGCUUCAGGUGUUGCAGACCUGCAGGCUUCGCAAAUGCGAA